This is a non-coding RNA of Dipodomys ordii (Ord's kangaroo rat), 72 nucleotides long. The record is from Rfam. Lineage: Eukaryota; Metazoa; Chordata; Mammalia; Rodentia; Heteromyidae.
GGGAUGUUGGCUUAGUGGUAGAGUGCUUGCCUUGCAUGCAUGAGGCCUUGGGUUUGAUACCUCAGUAACUCA